This 57-nucleotide transfer RNA is filed under the name Erysipelotrichaceae bacterium. RNAcentral describes it as "tRNA-Ser". It matches the Rfam family "tRNA", at positions 19 to 71 of the family's 71-position model. Rfam says of the family: Transfer RNA (tRNA) molecules are approximately 80 nucleotides in length. Lineage: Bacteria; Bacillati; Bacillota; Erysipelotrichia; Erysipelotrichales; Erysipelotrichaceae. The record is from RNAcentral.
UAGAGCAUUCGCCUCCUAAGCGAAAGGUCGUAGGUUCGACUCCUAUCUGGGACGCCA